Thunnus maccoyii (southern bluefin tuna) is the source of this 1151-nucleotide long non-coding RNA. RefSeq lists it as uncharacterized. The transcript is spliced from 5 exons. The record is from RefSeq and is a predicted model, not a curated record. Lineage: Eukaryota; Metazoa; Chordata; Actinopteri; Scombriformes; Scombridae.
UUACAGAGAUGAGCAUCUGGAUGUCAUUGCAGAAGCUACAGAAAUGCAGGUCCUUGAACAAAGCUUACAUGACAGGAGCAUUGUUGAGGAGGACAUGGAGGAAAAUGCUUUCAACGACCGUUUCUUUCACAUGAAGAUCCUCUGGAUGAGCCUACUCCCUGUGAUCAGGCACCUGUUUUCCCAGCCCCACAGCGUGUCCUUUGUGAAGAUGACAUCAUAGGUGCCAGAGCUUCAAUAGUAUAUGAGGACUGCUUGAGACAACUGGCUACACUUAUGACCCUGCCUGCGGAUAAUGUUCAAGCCAUUUGAAGACUGAUGUGUUGUGCAACUGCGUUGCCCCCUUUGAGAUCAAAAUCACUUCUUAGGGCACAGCAUUGAGUAUUGUAUGGAUCUGUCCUAAUGGACAUAGAGCGUGGAGGUGGAAUUCCCUGCCUAUAAUGAAUUUUGGGAUGCAAGCUGGAGAUUUUCUCUUGUCCACUAACAUUUCGUUGUCUGGCAACAACUAUGCAAAGGUUGCCCUCCUUCAGAUUUAUGAACAUCGGAAUGGGGAACAAGAACACCUUCUUCAGGACACAUACUGUGUCGACAAAGUGAAGGACUACUGGGAAGAGAAGAGGGCUGAGGCCCUCAGUUGCCUUCAAGGGAAAGAUGUUGUGGUCUUAGCGAAUGGAAGAAAUGACUCUCCAGGCCAUUGCACACAGUACUGCAGCUACACCACCAUGGAGAAUGAAACUAAGGAGAUAAUUCAUGUUCCCACCAUAGACAAGCAGCAGACAUCAUGGAACUCUGUCAUCAUGGAGAAGGAGGGUUUUAUCCAGACUGUUGACAAACUGACAUCACAGAUAAAGCUAGUGGAGAUCUGUACAGAUGCUCAUGCCCAGAUUGGAGCACUUAUGAAUAAGUACUCAUCUGAUAUAAUGUAUGAAUACAUGUGGUGAAAAGAUUAUUGAAAUAUUGUAGUAAAAUUACAUUGUUCCACACUUCACAGACCAAGACAAAAGCAGAUACAAGGACCUCAGAAUUCAUCACAGUCUGGACAUGUGGCAUGGUGCCAAGAACCUGGCCAAAAAAAUAGCUGGAAACCCCGGGUUUCAGGCCAAGCCUUCACAGUCCUUUGCAGUCCUGUUGGUGUCCUUCCCCAGCUAUUGCUG